UUCUUACCAAGAACUCCUUAACUUGAGGGUGAACAACUUAAAGCUUGAUCCUACAGUUACCUGAAAAGUGAUUUGAGUAUUCAUUGAACUGAAAGAACAAAUCGCCUACUUCAGGCGGUGGCAAGCGUAUGGAAAUUAUAUUAGAACUUCAGCAAAGUGCACAGCUGCAUAAUAGAGAAGCCGGCACUCAGAUUGACAGGCAAAUAAGCCAGCUUGUGGAAGGGGCCUCUGGGUGGCAGCUCUGGGCUUUUGGGUGUUGGACAACCAUAGGCAAAACUGAAAUGGAACAGGGGCAGAAAAUAGCACACUUUUACUCUACGCAACUGUUGCUUUUUCAUGGAGCUCUUUCUGAGAUGAAGAGAAUUCUCAAUGUCAAGAUUUGAACAAGAAGAGAAUGGAAUACACAAUAUGGACAUCCAUAAAAAUUCAUCAGAGAGCAUUUUACUACUGAGCUGCAAAGGGAAAAACUUAAAAUGGAUAUGAAAAGUGAAGAAAGUGAUCAUAGGAGAAAACCAUUUCAGAUGACAAGAGCACCUCAAAGGCAGCAGCCUCAAGGAGCAGCCAUGGCCCCAGACUUGUCGCACGGAUGCAGAAAACUUAAUGGAGGAGGCUGAGGUCAGAAUGGGAAGAGUUUUUAAAAAAUAAAAAGGGGAGCUAAUAUGUGAGGAACUGAUUGCUGUGCAUUAUUUUCCACUGAACAGACCUUCUUUUAACUUCUAAUCUCAAGCACAUAGCAGCUGUUGUUUUCAUAUUAAAGAUCAGUAAGUGUUUGUUGAA
Molecule: long non-coding RNA, 777 nt
Filed under: Homo sapiens (human)
Lineage: Eukaryota; Metazoa; Chordata; Mammalia; Primates; Hominidae
Description: mir-99a-let-7c cluster host gene
Source: RNAcentral